CCUACGGUGGCUGCAGUGGGGAAUAUUGGACAAUGGGCGAAAGCCUGAUCCAGCCAUGCCGCGUGUGUGAAGAAGGCCUUCGGGUUGUAAAGCACUUUCAGUGGGGAAGAAAGCCUUGGGGCUAAUACCCUCGAGGAAGGACAUCACCCACAGAAGAAGCACCGGCUAACUCCGUGCCAGCAGCCGCGGUAAUACGGAGGGUGCGAGCGUUAAUCGGAAUUACUGGGCGUAAAGCGCGCGUAGGCGGUCUGAUAAGCCGGUUGUGAAAGCCCCGGGCUCAACCUGGGAACGGCAUCCGGAACUGUCAGGCUAGAGUGCAGGAGAGGAAGGUAGAAUUCCCGGUGUAGCGGUGAAAUGCGUAGAGAUCGGGAGGAAUACCAGUGGCGAAGGCGGCCUUCUGGACUGACACUGACGCUGAGGUGCGAAAGCGUGGGUAGCAAACAGGAUUAGAUACCCGGGUAGUC
RNAcentral lists this ribosomal RNA (464 nucleotides) under Vreelandella stevensii. RNAcentral describes it as "partial 16S ribosomal RNA". It matches the Rfam family "Bacterial small subunit ribosomal RNA", at positions 338 to 795 of the family's 1533-position model. Lineage: Bacteria; Pseudomonadati; Pseudomonadota; Gammaproteobacteria; Oceanospirillales; Halomonadaceae. The record is from RNAcentral.